This is a long non-coding RNA of Xiphophorus couchianus (Monterrey platyfish), 2908 nucleotides long. RefSeq lists it as uncharacterized. The transcript has 2 exons. The record is from RefSeq and is a predicted model, not a curated record. NCBI's taxonomy places the organism in Eukaryota, Metazoa, Chordata, Actinopteri, Cyprinodontiformes, Poeciliidae.
AAUUUUUAAAGGAUUUUAGAUAUCUUUACCCUACUUUAUCAAACAGAAUUGUACAUAGACAGGACAUCCAGGGCAGCUUGUGCAAAGACAGGCCAGAACAUAACAGUCAGAAACCGUCUGCAAUUGUACAAACAUGUAUAAACAUGCCAAGUGUGAGUGGGAAUCCCACAGUUAAAGUCACAGUGAGAGCUAACAUCCAAACAGAAACCCUCUAUUGCUUAAAAAAAAGACAGAAGACAGCAGAAUGACAGAUUAUGCAACUGACACCACAGAAACAUGAAGAAGGAACUUGAACUCUUGAAAAGGAAACAGAGUGUUUAAAAUCAGAACUACAAAAGUUGUGUAAAGUCAUACUUGGAAGUACAGUUCAUCUGAAACCUUGAGGCAGUAACCUCAAACUGGAAGAAAGACUUCAGCAGAUUCCAGGAAUAACACAAGAUAUGAACUCUAUCAUCUUUACAAAACAAGUCGCUGGUGACUCACUCUAUGAAUAAAAUACUCAUGAAAAUCAGCACUUUAAGUUUUAAAGAAAAGCAACUUACUGUACAUUAUCCAGUUGUCUCAGUAUCUGCUUAGGAAUUUACAAAUAUUUACCUAACUACGUGAUAUGCAGGAUAAUUGUAUGACUUAAUCUCACAGUGAAUAAAUAAAUUAUGUGACAUUACCAAAUCUUAUAUAGGGUUAGAAAUAAACAACCCCUCAUAAAAAUAAAUCACAAACAGGCAUGAUAUCCAUUACUAAUACAAGAUAGGGUGAAAUUACAGGAUGAAGUCAAAAUGUGCUACAACCUUUACAGGUAUGUAAACAGGUAAUGUACCGGUAACCUUCUCUAAACCUUUGAGUGCUCAUGUCUAACUGUUCAAUGUGUCAGUCCUUUUUGCACCACUUCCUUUUCUGUAAUACGGAGCCUAAUGACAAAAUUCUCAGCAGGUGUUUUAACCAGGAAUCAACCAAUAAAUGUCAUCAUCAUCACGCUUUGAUGUCACAAGACCAAGACGACACUUAGCAGAUGAUCAACUGUGCCUCGCCAUUGUGGGGUUUCAGGCAGGAUGUAAUUAGACGGAAGUGGCUACUGAGCUUAGGGCGUCACAGAGUGUCAUAAGGUUACAACAGAGAUACAGAAACACUGGAAAAGUCACAGAAACACACAGAAGUGGACGUCCUCUGGCCACAUCCCACACUGAUGGCUACUUCUUUGUGAACAAUGCCCAGGAAACAGAAUGAUGAAAAAUGCCACUCAACUCCAAGCACAUUUAAGGGAGUUGAGAGACACGUCAGAUCGGUCGAAACCAUUUAUAUCAGCAUGUAACGCUUACUGGACGACCUUCGUUGGUACCUGACCAUACCACCACACACAGACGUCAUGGACGAGGGACCAGCAAACUCGAUUCUGUUCUCUGGUAAAAGUCGAUUUACGCCGAGAAGAAAUGAUAGCCAUCAACAAUGUUGGAGACGUCAAAGAGGCGCCAUGUUUAAGCCACUGAUGUCACCAGACAAACCUUUGGUGGUGAUCGUGUUUAAGUUUGGGCAGGUCUGUCCAGUCCAGGGGUCUGCAACCUUAACAAUCCAAAGACGCUGCUCAGUCCAGCUGAAUAAAACAGUCAGAAAAUGUUGCUCAUGAAAAAACAACUUGAAUAUAUGCUAUAGGAAAUUUGUGGUGAUAUUUUUCAAGAACCACAAUUUUAUUUCUGUUUUUAGGUAUUAAGGAAAAACAAAAUAAUUAUAAUGGUGUUUAGUUGCACAACUUUAUGGACUCGUUCAUUCGUGGCUGUUUUCACGUUUAUUGCGCUGUCCAUAUUAGUCUCGAUAUUUGCAGUUUUCUGGAGCGCAACGCGAAGCUCGACGUAAUUCACAGGUAAUAUAUUAACUUGACAUUAACAAAGACACAGCGGGACGGUUGAAAUGAUCCGACCCGCUGGAAACGAUGGACAGGGAUGGAAAUGAUGGACAGGGAGAGUCUGACUAAAACUAACUGGAUGUCAGACAAAUUCUGGGGUUUAUGUCUGCUUAUUUCCAAGCCCAAAAAGCGCAACCCGCGACUCAUUAAAUCUGCAAGCGACUUUAGAAAAAAAAACAAGCCCAAAGCUGCUUAUAAUAGGACUUGGCGAAGGAAACUCAAAAUACUUCCUGUUUUUCCAGCGACAAAAUGCGCAUCUCCCUCUUCCCUCCAUGUUUCUGUUUCUGUCGUUGCUGAUACUGUCGCAUAGAAAUGAAGCCUAGGCGCAAAUUCAAACCGGAAGACUCUGUAGCCUCACCUGCAUCAUCCAAUUGGCGCGUCCCGCUCAUCGCCGCCGACCUAUCAACGCUGGACAGGUCACGGCCAAUCACCGACCAAGGCCCAGUUGAUAAGGACCUCCAUCCAUGGCAUCUUCCGCUUUUCAGCAGCGCUCAAACCUCCUCCACCUCGACUCUCCCGGCUCUCCAGGCACACAUCAUCCACCGACCUCCACCACCAGCGUUGGGCCCCGGGGGAUGACAUUCCUAACCUACAUCGGGAAUGCUCAUCCGAUCUAUCAGCAGGAUAAUAAUCCAAGGUUUUUAAGGCUUUUCAUCCGUCACAAUCAGGAGUCUUGAUAAUUGUCUAGGGCACUGUGAUUUGAAAGAUUCUAGAAAUAUUUUACUUUAAUAUUCAUAAGGGUCAGAACAUCUGUACAUUUUGUUCCACACAAACCAACAUAUACAGUAUUUUUAAGGACAGUCAAUUUAAAUGAUUCAGUUUAUCAUCACAUACAAAAGAGCACUAAACUAGUCUCUGGUAUUUUAUACCUUUAUCCAUCCUUUUAUUUAAUGUUACUCUCUGUACUGCAUACAAAACAGGCCAGAGGGGUGGGGCUGAACUCGUAACAAAGUCUUGAACUUAAAAAAAAAGUUCAGCAAAAAGAGGGAUUUGCAAAAUUAACAAAUAUUU